This 87-nucleotide transfer RNA is filed under the name Colletotrichum orbiculare MAFF 240422. Its description in RNAcentral is "tRNA-Glu for anticodon CUC". It matches the Rfam family "tRNA". From Rfam's summary of the family: Transfer RNA (tRNA) molecules are approximately 80 nucleotides in length. The record is from RNAcentral. Lineage: Eukaryota; Fungi; Ascomycota; Sordariomycetes; Glomerellales; Glomerellaceae.
UCCCAUGUGGUGUAAUGGUUAACAUUUGACGCUCUCAAUCAGAGCAGCGCUCCCGUCAGGCUCCGAGUUCGAUUCUCGGCGUGGGAA